GCCAGGAUUUUUAGUUGUACUGUGUGUGUGCUAGAGUCACUAUCAAAUUGCUAAAGGAGAAGAAUGUUGAGACAACACAGUAACUGACAGUGAUGUGUCACACAGUUUAUUAUGAAGCAAUGAGGCACACUUCAGAUACUGCCACCAGCCAGAGGGAGUCUCUUAGGGCCACUGGGAGGUUGUACCCCAUGGCAAGAGCGAGAACCACGUACACUGGCAAGAAAAGGAGCAGUUGUUCCAAGGCUCUUUCGGCCCUCUUCGCAUGUCAUGGCCCAAUUCAAGGUGCUGGGUGCUACCUCUAAAGCCCUAAAUGGCUUGGGGCCAGAAUAUCUGAAAGACUGUCUUCUCCUGCAGGAACCUGCCUGUCAGUUAUGGUCAUCACCAGAGCCCUUGAUCCUUCUUCUACUUUAAAGUUCACCAGGCCCAGAAAUUGGAGAACUAAUCUAUAAUCUAUGGGAGCUGAUGAUAACUGCUGCAAUAGGAAAUAGAUACGAUCCUUUUUCUACAAGGCAGCAUCUUCCUUGAAAAAAAGGCAUGGAAUAUGAACAUUAUCUGUAGAAAAAGAGCCAUAAUACCUGCCACAAGAAAUGGCCAUUCAGUACUAUGAUUUUCCUCAAACCAGCCAGCUUAACAUCACCAGAUGACUCCUCCUCAAACUGUUCCUUUCAAAAACCCAAUAUCCAUUGUAACUGUGAUUGUCAAAAAGCACAAGCACAACUCUAGGGAUCAUAAGUAGCCUAUCUAAUUA
Molecule: long non-coding RNA, 748 nt
Organism: Podarcis raffonei (Aeolian wall lizard)
Lineage: Eukaryota; Metazoa; Chordata; Lepidosauria; Squamata; Lacertidae
Exons: 4
Source: RefSeq, a predicted model, not a curated record